This 311-nucleotide long non-coding RNA is filed under the name Ananas comosus (pineapple). RNAcentral describes it as "long non-coding RNA (ACOM_LNC014120)". The record is from RNAcentral. Lineage: Eukaryota; Viridiplantae; Streptophyta; Magnoliopsida; Poales; Bromeliaceae.
CUCUGUUGUAUCUGCUACUCAAUCAAACUUUCAUUUUAUUUGAUUUAAAUCAGCUAACGAUACUUCAAUUUAAAAUUUUAAAUGCAUCGCUUAUCUUCAUAUAUUCAGUGAGUAUAUAUUUUAUUAAAGUAAGUAAGUAAGUAGCUCAAAUUUUAACACAAAGUGCGGUUGAGUGACUUAAAUUAAAUAAAUUAAAAAAUUGAAUGGUAAAAUUUAAAUUUAAAAGGAUGAGAUGAAUAGUUCAAAUAAAGUUUUAUAUUAUAAUUUUUUUAAUUUAACUAGAUUUUUUUUUAAAAGAAAAAAAAAUUUAA